GUAAAUAUAGUUUACCCAAAACACUAGACUGUGACUCU
Molecule: transfer RNA, 38 nt
Filed under: Podarcis vaucheri
Lineage: Eukaryota; Metazoa; Chordata; Lepidosauria; Squamata; Lacertidae
Description: partial tRNA-His
Source: RNAcentral